AGCGGAGAGGGAAACGUGGAGCGAAGCUCUGCCCCGAGAGAGAAGAGGAAAUGGGGGGGACGGUCUAUGCGCCGGGGACCCCUGCCGAGCCUGCCUAAUUAGUAUAAAGCAGCCAGCUCCACUGCAGCUGCCCCAGAGCCCUCGGAUAGGGGACUAAGGAAGUAUGACCAGGAUGCUGCUGGGAACGGCUUCUUUCUGUUCCUGUGGCAGUCGUUGCUCCGGAGGAAUGGAGACUCAAGACCAACUUCUUUGGGAUUUUCCAAAUACAUGCUACUCUGUACAUAUGCUGUGCCAGUGGCUCAUGAGCAAAUCCUAUGAUGGAAGAAAGAAAUUCAGGAAUCAAUACUGCAGAUGGAAUUUCCACUAUAUUUGCUAAUUUGAAAGUAGAAUGAAACUACUGAAUAGAAAGUAGAAUGAAAAGUAGAAUUUCCAAGGAUCAUUUGGAGGUACAAGCAAGGAGCAGUAGUCACUGCAGAGUCCAUUUAGGAACGUGAGAAUAAUUUAAUGCAACUACAAAGUACAUAGCCAGUGUACUUUGUGAAAAACUAAACAGGAACUAAAAUAACUGUAGAGUAAUUUCCAUUUUAAACAAAUAAAGAUAUGGAAGCCAGAUACUA
Molecule: long non-coding RNA, 617 nt
Organism: Dermochelys coriacea (leatherback sea turtle)
Lineage: Eukaryota; Metazoa; Chordata; Testudines; Dermochelyidae
Exons: 3
Source: RefSeq, a predicted model, not a curated record